RNAcentral lists this ribosomal RNA (253 nucleotides) under uncultured prokaryote. RNAcentral describes it as "partial 16S ribosomal RNA". It matches the Rfam family "Bacterial small subunit ribosomal RNA", at positions 525 to 777 of the family's 1533-position model. The record is from RNAcentral.
ACGGAGGGGGCUAGCGUUGUUCGGAAUUAUUGGGCGUAAAGGGCGCGUAGGCGGCCGAAUAAGUCUGACGUGAAAUCCCCCGGCCCAACCGGGGAACUGCGUUUGAUACUGUUCGGCUCGAGUCCGGGAGAGGGUAGUGGAAUUCCCAGUGUAGCGGUGAAAUGCGUAGAUAUUGGGAGGAACACCGGUGGCGAAGGCGGCUACCUGGACCGGUACUGACGCUGAGGCGCGAAAGCUAGGGUAGCAAACAGGA